RNAcentral lists this non-coding RNA (29 nucleotides) under Mus musculus (house mouse). Lineage: Eukaryota; Metazoa; Chordata; Mammalia; Rodentia; Muridae. The record is from RNAcentral.
UACCAUGUUUUCUAUGUGAAUAUUUCUUA